Molecule: long non-coding RNA, 99 nt
Organism: Etheostoma spectabile (orangethroat darter)
Lineage: Eukaryota; Metazoa; Chordata; Actinopteri; Perciformes; Percidae
Exons: 3
Source: RefSeq, a predicted model, not a curated record
UCGUCAUGGUCCCUGAAGUCUCUUUCUCUCCUGAUUCUUCCAUGGGGCCCCUCCUCCUGCAGGGCCAGCAGUGCCAUUAUGCUGCAUUAGCCUAGGCAC